Molecule: ribosomal RNA, 485 nt
Filed under: uncultured bacterium
Lineage: Bacteria
Description: partial 16S ribosomal RNA
Rfam family: Bacterial small subunit ribosomal RNA
Source: RNAcentral
GAUUGAACGCUGGCGGCAGGCCUAACACAUGCAAGUCGAGCGGAUGAAGGGAGCUUGCUCCUGGCUUCAGCGGCGGACGGGUGAGUAAUGCCUAGGAAUCUGCCUGGUAGUGGGGGAUAACGUCCGGAAACGGGCGCUAAUACCGCAUACGUCCUGAGGGAGAAAGUGGGGGAUCUUCGGACCUCACGCUAUCAGAUGAGCCUAGGUCGGAUUAGCUAGUUGGUGGGGUAAAGGCCUACCAAGGCGACGAUCCGUAACUGGUCUGAGAGGAUGAUCAGUCACACUGGAACUGAGACACGGUCCAGACUCCUACGGGAGGCAGCAGUGGGGAAUAUUGGACAAAGGGCGAAAGCCUGAUCCAGCCAUGCCGCGUGUGUGAAGAAGGUCUUCGGAUUGUAAAGCACUUUAAGCUGGGAGGAAGGGCAGUAAGUUAAUACCUUGCUGUUUUGACGUUACCAACAGAAUAAGCACCGGCUAACUUCGUG